This 421-nucleotide ribosomal RNA is filed under the name Potomida littoralis. Its description in RNAcentral is "partial 28S large subunit ribosomal RNA". Lineage: Eukaryota; Metazoa; Mollusca; Bivalvia; Unionida; Unionidae. The record is from RNAcentral.
UUAGAGGCAAACGGGUGGACCCGCAAUACGUCGACCCGGGGGAUUCAACCAGGCCGUGCGUUCGGGACGCGUGGGGGUUAUGCGGAGCUGUAAAGCCCGUGCCUUUGCGUGGGUCUCCGGGCGGACUGGUGCACUUUCCUCGGGUUGAUUGCCACGACCGGCUCUCCGCGCGGCCAUAAGCCUGUUGCUGGUAAGGUGACCGUCGGCCCCAGCGCCGGCGGUGUUAUAGACCAGCUUGUUCGUUGCGCUCGUCGGAGGGCCGAGGAAGUUGCCGUUUCUCAGCACCCUCUGGCCAUCCUUGCUCGUCACGACUGGGGUGAACUGCUUCGCCAGUGCUCUCCCGACCGCGAGCGUAGGAAGGGCUGGUACGGUGCGAGGAUGCUUCGGGCCAGUGGCGAAUCGGUCGGUCCUCCACCCGACC